AACGAACGCCGGCGGCAUGCCUAACACAUGCAAGUCGAACGAGACCUUCGGGUCUAGUGGCGCACGGGUGCGUAACGCGUGGGAAUCUGCCCUUGGGUUCGGAAUAGCAGCGAGAAAUUGCUGCUAAUACCGGAUGAUGACGUAAGUCCAAAGAUUUAUCGCCCAAGGAUGAGCCCGCGUAGGAUUAGCUAGUUGGUGAGGUAAGGGCUCACCAAGGCGACGAUCCUUAGCUGGUCUGAGAGGAUGAUCAGCCACACUGGGACUGAGACACGGCCCAGACUCCUACGGGAGGCAGCAGUGGGGAAUAUUGGACAAUGGGCGAAAGCCUGAUCCAGCAAUGCCGCGUGAGUGAUGAAGGCCUUAGGGUUGUAAAGCUCUUUUACCCGGGAUGAUAAUGACAGUACCGGGAGAAUAAGCUCCGGCUAACUCCGUGCCAGCAGCCGCGGUAAU
This 450-nucleotide ribosomal RNA is filed under the name uncultured bacterium. RNAcentral describes it as "bacterial SSU rRNA". It matches the Rfam family "Bacterial small subunit ribosomal RNA", at positions 29 to 524 of the family's 1533-position model. The record is from RNAcentral.